GAACGAACGCUGGCGGCGCGUCUUAAGCAUGCAAGUCGAACGGCAAGAGGUAGCAAUACCUCCUAGAGUGGCGGACUGGUGAGUAACACGUGGGUGACAUACCCUUCAGAUGGGGAUAGCUAUUAGAAAUAGUAGAUAAUACCGAAUACGAGCACAGGGGUUAGAGAUCUGUGAGGAAAGGAGCUAAGGCUCCGCUGAAGGAAUGGCCUGCGGCCCAUUAGCUAGUUGGUGAGGUAAGAGCCCACCAAGGCGAUGAUGGGUAUCCGGCCUUAGAGGGUGAACGGACACAUUGGGACUGAGAUACGGCCCAGACUCCUACGGGAGGCAGCAGCUAAGAAUAUUCCGCAAUGGACGAAAGUCUGACGGAGCGACGCCGCCGUGGAUGAAGAAGGCCGGAAGGUUGUAAAAUCCUUUUGAAACUGAAGAAUAAGCGUUGUAGGGAAUGACAGCGUGGUGACAGUAGGUUUUGAAUAAGCAACGGCUAAUUACGUGCCAGCCGCCGC
This 503-nucleotide ribosomal RNA is filed under the name uncultured bacterium. RNAcentral describes it as "bacterial SSU rRNA". It matches the Rfam family "Bacterial small subunit ribosomal RNA", at positions 27 to 518 of the family's 1533-position model. The record is from RNAcentral.